AAGAGCUGCAGAAGAGCCAUUGUUCUCUGAAUGUAUGACUCAUACUCCACUAUUAGUGGUGUGUAGGCUACUAAACAUUAAGUCUGAGUUUAACAUGAGUGAGAACUAUUAUAACUGAAUUUUGCUUCUUCUGAAAGAGCUCUUGCCUGAAGAUGCUAAGUUACCCAAUGAUUAUUAUAGAACUAAAUAGAUAGUUGCAAAGCUUAGGUUAGGAUAUGAAAAGAUAGAUGUGUGCAAUAUAGGUUGUAUCCUAUAUUACAAGGUUGUAUCCUAUUUGAUAUGUUGCAUAUGAUCUUUGUUGAAUUUUUAAAUUUCAGCUAUGCAUUUUGUGAUUUUGUGAUAAUUCCUUGCAUAUGAUAUGCUGCAUAUGAUACUUCCUUACAUAUGAUAUGCUACAUUUGAUAAUUCCUUGCAUUUUGAGAUAAACAGGACCUAUGUGUUGUAUUUUAAGCAUUUAUAUGCUGCAUAUGAUCUUUGUUGAACUUUUUAAUUUUAGUUGGGCAAUUUUCAUGGAAAAAUGCUACCAAUAUUGCGUUAAUCGACUCUUAUUGACACAUUACACUUAAAUCCAUUGCUAUGUAAUUAGAAAUACUGAGUUUGCACUCAACAUUUCAUUAGUUAACUCUUAUGUUAUCAAUGCAAAAUCUCUAUUCCUUUGCCCUUAUAGAAACAUAAAUAAGAUCUCUUGUUGAUAAAUAUUGUGAUGUCUGAUAAUAGCUAAUUAAUUUUUUUCUUUUCAGAAUACAUUCACAAGAAAUAUUAAUCAGAAGGUAGGUGAGACAUCAACUAUAAGAAAUGAAGAUGGUUUUGAAGUACAGGAAAGAGAUGUGGGAUUAAACAGAGCAAAAGAGGAAAGUGAGGCACAAGAAUGCAAUGAAGACAAUAAUAUCUUAACUUUGCUACAGAAUAUCCCAAAGGAGCAAGUGUUGAAUACUUGGAUUGACACAAUUGGUGGAGCAAAGAAAGGAAGAGUGUAUGGCCUUGGCUCAAUGACUCAGUUCUAGGAGAAUUAACCCAUGUUAGUUCUGUCCACUCUAAUGCUCCAACUCCUUCAACUGUCCCUCCCCAACAAGUUAUUGAAACACCUGAGUUUGAGCAAGCAGUUAAUCAAGUGGUGGAUCAGCGGGUGGAUGAUCGGGUAGAUCAUCGAAUGGAUCAGCGAAUAGAGCUUAUGCAGGCACAUUUUCGUGAGGAAAUAGAAGCAGCAGUCCAUGCUGUCAUGAGCCGCAUGUUUGGUCUCUUUCCACAACCACCAGGAAAUGGCUUUGGUUCUUCCUCACAAUCACCCCCACAUAUUUAGAGUUUAUGCUAUGGCUUUUGAAGUGUAAAACAUGUUUUGGCUUUAUGUUAUCAUUAGCUUUCAUCUUUGGAAGAUAGUAUUACUUUUUGCAAUGUAUGUGUAUGAGUAUUUUGUUGAUAUUUGAAUGGUUGAUUUUAUAUAUAUGCAUAUUGGAAUUUGAAUGUUUU
This 1467-nucleotide unclassified non-coding RNA is filed under the name Hevea brasiliensis (rubber tree). Lineage: Eukaryota; Viridiplantae; Streptophyta; Magnoliopsida; Malpighiales; Euphorbiaceae. The record is from RNAcentral.